AGAGGGACAAAGACUUCAGCAUGCCCUGGAGGAGCAGAAAAAAGGGUAGGAGGACAUAGAAGUGCAAUAUCAGAGGAGGAGAGUCGAGCAUAGAGUCAAAUUUGAAAAAAGUCCAGUUAUGGCUUUGUUUCUCAGGAUCAUCCGUGUUUGGUCAUCCACACUGAUUUAAACUAGCUUUUUGUGGAAUUUUGUUGACAUUUGUUCUGACUUUUUAGCAUGAUGGAAAAUGAGAUUCAGAAACUCAGGGAGGAGAAUGAAACAUUGAAACGGGAUCUCCAGCGGCGAAUUCAAGAGUCCUAGGGUGAUCUGGCACUGCAGAAACAGGAAAAGCUAUUGAGCAAAGAGCUGGAGGUCCACGCCAAAGCUUACAGUCAGGCCACCGAAGCCCUGCAGGCCUCUGAAGAACUACAGCAGGCUCAGAAAGAGAUCCAGUGCAGAGAUUGGUGACUUAACAUCACUGCAAUGGAAGGCUCCAGAUAAACUGGAUAAAAGAGUUUGAAGACAAACUAAAACAAAUGGAGAACAAUUAUAAAAAAAAAGAGCAAGAAACCUACAGCAGGAAUUA
Molecule: long non-coding RNA, 565 nt
Organism: Carassius carassius (crucian carp)
Lineage: Eukaryota; Metazoa; Chordata; Actinopteri; Cypriniformes; Cyprinidae
Exons: 3
Source: RefSeq, a predicted model, not a curated record